CAGACCUUACGGUUGUCUUCCCUUGUUCCCUAAAAAUCACUGUUAUUCUGUUCUGUUUCAAGGUGCACUGAUUUCAUAUUGUUCAAACACACAUGUUUCUAUAUACAGUGUUAUAAUGCCUAUAUUAUAAAACAAGAAAGGUGAAUAUAUCUUAUUAACACUGUUUUCUGGAAGACAUCUUUUUAGAGAAGAAAUAUGUAAAAUUAAUAUAUGCUCACUCUAAAAGACAAAUGAUGAUGCAAAAUCACCUAUAUAAAAAACUCCAUUGGAAUUGGCCAAAAAUUUUUAAUGAAUUUAGAAAAGUUGCAAGGUAUACCAUCGUACUGGAACAAUUGGAUAUGUAUAUGCAAAAAUAAAAUUCAAUCCACAUCUCACAUUGUGUACAAAACUUAGUGCAAAAUAGAUCUAUAGUUUAAUGGGAAGGGGUAUGAGAAAAAUUUCUAGAGUGUUUGUGUUAUUCUAUAUCUUUACAGGCUUUUCACUUAAAUAGUUCCUACACUGGUUGAAAUUCAUGGAUUGAUAAACUUAAGAAUUUUGGAUUUUAUUUAUUUAUACGUUUCUAUCAAAAAGAACAUAAGCAGCAAACUCUAGUUAGUCAUAGGCGUGUAAAAGUGUUUAGAAGUUGUUAUAGUGAUGCCUGUAACUUAUUAACUACUACCACCACCUCGUCAUACUCUGCUACCCAUCAAACUAAUGCCACUUCCAUUGCUAAACCCUAAAAUAAUUUAGAGUAAGUAAUUUUGCAUCCAUGUGUAUUACCUUUAAUGAUGCCAUAAACAAAAGUAGUUUGGUCUUCAGGACUUUAUUAGAAUCUUACUUUCUUUCUGAAAAUUAGUGUUAUACCAUUUAUAAUUUUGUUCUUUAUAUUUUGCAGAUGGUAAACCACUCUUUGGAUCAUUAAUUAUAUUUUUUAUAUUUAGCCAGAUAGUACCUUUUUCCCUCUAUUUGGGAAGUCUCAGAAAUGAAUAUAAUUUUCCGGUUAGCUAAAGGUCAAAUUUUGGGCAACCCAAUUAACCAUUUCAAGCCUGGGAAUGUUGACCAAGGGAAAAAAAAGAAAGAAAAAACACACUGAAAGAUAAGAAUUGGAUAUCUUUUAUAUGAGAAGAAAUUAAAUAUCAGUGAAAAUACAAACUUUCAUCAGAAGGAACAUUUAGUGUGUCAAAAUUCUGAUUGAAAUGUUUCUUUUACCAGAAGUGUACAAGCAUAGAUUUCAUGUCCAUUUAUUAUAUAUGUGGUUGGAAUAAAGAUAUAAUUCUAUAAUUUUUAUAGACCUGCCUCAUUAUAAGUCACAAGAAAAGCAUGUUGAAACUAUGACUUUAGUUAAUAAUAAUGUAUUACAUCAUUCAUAAUUGCUAAGAGAGUGAACUUCAAAUCUUCUCAUCAACAAAAAAGUGAUAUAUGAGGUGAUAGAUUUGUUCAUUAGUUUGAUUUACUCACUCUACAUUGUAUACAUAUAUCAAACAUCACAUUGUACCCCACAGAAUAAAUAAUUAAAAUUUGUCCGUAAAAAUAAAUAACUACAAAUUUUUUGAAAAGUGCCCAAAUGUUAUGCCAUCACAAUUCAGAAUAAUUUAGUGUGAUUUACCAGCUUCUAUUAUUCUACACCACACCAGUCAUGUAAAUGGCAUUAAAUGGUCCUUCUACUUAACUGUGAAUUCCUUUGAAAGCGUGAGGAAUUACUUUAAUUUUUGUAUCUCCAGUAUAAAACAGAGUACCUAAUAUGCAUUUGCUAAUUUCGAAUAUGAAAUGAAUGAUUAAAGGUUACACAUAUUAAUACCUAAGAAAUAGAUGCCUAUAGUACAUUUAGAAAUAUAAUAGUAACAGAAAAUUAUAUUUUCUAGUUGUGAUGCUUAAAGUAACUCUGUCUUCUAAAAAUAUGUGUAUUUUUAUUUCUAGACAGAAUAAUUAACGGUUUUUUCUCAUUUUGAGUAAAAACGUUUCUGGAGAAUACAGGUCUCUAAACCUGGAUUUGCACCAAAUUCUGCUCUUGCAGGGAUUCAAAUUCAACAUGUCUGUGACUGACCCCAAGCAUAUCAAUUAUUUUAACAUUUCACAGUUGAAUCUGGUAAUUACCUUAAAACAGCUGUUCUAGACUUAUAGUAGUUACUCAAAACCCUGACCUAUACACUGAAAAAUCAAUAAUUUUUACUGGACCAAGCUAUUUGCAAAGGGUGUUUAUAUACUAGAUUAGGAAGCCACAUUCAUUAAUGAGUAGUUUCUUUAUCACGGUCUCUUUAAAAGAAUCAUUUGGGGUAAAUUUCCUUUCUUGCUGACAUUAUUCCUGAUAAAAACAUCUUUAAAAUUUAGAUUAUUUAAAAAGCUGCUAUUGUUUAUUAAACAUGAUAGUCAUAGAAAAUUCUGUUGGUGAAAUUAAUGCAUGUAGUCUGUCACUACCUGUAAUUUCCCAUCUCUUGCACUGUGUUAAUAACCCCUUUACACUGCAUGGGUAAGAAUUAAAUUAGAAUCAAAAAUCAAAACAGAGAUAUUGGCAAUAUUUCUAAUGUUUCAACAGUAAUAUUUUCAAACAUUUUAAAGUUGAAGUUUAAUCAGAACCACGUGUUACAUUUCUCCAUAGCCACAUACCAAAGAAAGAGAAAUGAUUCAUACUGUUAAAAGAAAAACUCAAACAAUGAAUUAUUAAUUAGGCAGCACUUUAGAACUAGAAGCAGCUCAAAGAGCUCUGCCAAUACUGUGAGUAGUGAGCAUUUAUAGGCCAAAUGAGAAAACAAGGUAGAGACAUCACCUGAUUGGCUACAGCUGGGCUUCUGCCUCUUUUAGGCAUGGUAUGAUAAGUUGGCUGCUUGUCAUUGGCUGAAGCUCCACUGUUUGUGCUGGUAUUUCUGAAAUCCAGGUAUUUUUUCUUUUCUUUUUUUUUUUUUUUUUUUUUUUUUUGAGAUGGAGUCUCGCUCUGUCGCCCAGGCUGGAGUGCAGUGGCGCAAUCUGGGCUCGCUGCAAACUCCUCGUCUCAGGUUCUUGCUAUUCUCCUGCCUCAGCCUCCCGAGUAGCUGGGACUACAGGCGCCGGCCACCACACCUGGCUAAUUUUUUGUAUUUUUAGUAGAGACGGGGUUUCACCGUGUUAGCCAGGAGAGUCUUGAUCUCCUGACCUCAUGAUCUGCCCGCCUCGGCCUCCCAAAGUGCUGGGAUUACAGGCCUGAGCCACUGCGCCCAGCCAAAUCCACGGAUUUCUUACACAACAAAUAUACUCCUGAGUUAGGAUUCAGUUUGCUUCAAUGCUAAUCUAGGUUGUGAUUUUUUACAUAGGAACUGAAAGUACAGAACAGCCUCAGACUAAUGGCUUCCUGCUCAUUUAACAAUACACAGAAUUUUAUAAACUAAUUUUGUAGUGACAACUAGGUUUCUUUAUUUUUUAUCCUCCUAGACUGUACUAAAUGUUAGUCAAUUACUACAAAAUAGAAAAGUGGAUAGAUUUGUGACAAAGCUGACAGCCACAAGAAGGUCCUAUGCCUAUGCAAGAGAUCAAGGGAAACAAGGAGUGAUCAGUGUUUAACACAGAAUAAAUAGUCGUUAAACUCUUAGAUAAUUUAUUGGAAAUAAAUGGUAAUACUAAUUGGCCUGAUAUUAUAUUUUGCUUCAAAAGUAUAUGCCAUUUAGUUUUAAACAUUACUUCAGAUACAUUUGGAAGAAAAACAGGAGAUUUUUAUGUAAAUUUCAAUAUCGAAAAUGAAGGCUCUUAAAUUAUUUUAUUAAUACAUAGAAUCACAUUGUGUGAUCCUUCUAAAUAUUCCUCUCUAUAUUCCAAUUACUAGUUUAAAAAGUGAAGAUUCUUUUUUUUUGCAAACAGAAAGAUUGCCUAAUAGUUUUUUUAAAGCCGAGAAUAUAUAUCUUCUUAAAUCAAAAUGUAUUUUAUUUCAGUCCAAACUUAAAAGAAUUCUAUUAUAAGUUGCUCCAAACUAUUUAUUUAUUAUAAAAAAAUAGAGAAUUUAUUAUUGCAUCAGGCAAGAAAAACGAAAACAUAUCAUAUACUCUAUUUGACACAUUAUGUCUCUUUUGAAGAAAUCAUACCUGAGUUCUUUAGUUAAAAAUUGAAUAGUGUUCAAGUCUAAUAUAUUGUAUCA
This 4078-nucleotide long non-coding RNA is filed under the name Homo sapiens (human). RNAcentral's name for it is "non-protein coding lnc-TECRL-11:1". Lineage: Eukaryota; Metazoa; Chordata; Mammalia; Primates; Hominidae. The record is from RNAcentral.